AUACGGAGGGUGCAAGCGUUAUCCGGAUUUAUUGGGUUUAAAGGGUCCGUAGGCGGACUAGUAAGUCAGUGGUGAAAGCCUUCAGCUUAACUGGAGAACUGCCAUUGAUACUGCUAGUCUCGAGUUCGGUUGAAGUGGGCGGAAUAUGUGGUGUAGCGGUGAAAUGCAUAGAUAUCACAUAGAACACCUAUUGCGAAGGCAGCUCACUAAGCCGAUACUGACGCUCAGGGACGAAAGCGUGGGGAGCGAACAGGAUUAGAAACCCUAGUAGUCC
Molecule: ribosomal RNA, 274 nt
Filed under: uncultured bacterium
Lineage: Bacteria
Description: partial 16S ribosomal RNA
Rfam family: Bacterial small subunit ribosomal RNA
Source: RNAcentral